Molecule: ribosomal RNA, 534 nt
Filed under: Escherichia coli
Lineage: Bacteria; Pseudomonadati; Pseudomonadota; Gammaproteobacteria; Enterobacterales; Enterobacteriaceae
Description: partial 23S ribosomal RNA
Rfam family: Bacterial large subunit ribosomal RNA
Source: RNAcentral
UCAGCGACUUAUAUUCUGUAGCAAGGUUAACCGAAUAGGGGAGCCGAAGGGAAACCGAGUCUUAACUGGGCGUUAAGUUGCAGGGUAUAGACCCGAAACCCGGUGAUCUAGCCAUGGGCAGGUUGAAGGUUGGGUAACACUAACUGGAGGACCGAACCGACUAAUGUUGAAAAAUUAGCGGAUGACUUGUGGCUGGGGGUGAAAGGCCAAUCAAACCGGGAGAUAGCUGGUUCUCCCCGAAAGCUAUUUAGGUAGCGCCUCGUGAAUUCAUCUCCGGGGGUAGAGCACUGUUUCGGCAAGGGGGUCAUCCCGACUUACCAACCCGAUGCAAACUGCGAAUACCGGAGAAUGUUAUCACGGGAGACACACGGCGGGUGCUAACGUCCGUCGUGAAGAGGGAAACAACCCAGACCGCCAGCUAAGGUCCCAAAGUCAUGGUUAAGUGGGAAACGAUGUGGGAAGGCCCAGACAGCCAGGAUGUUGGCUUAGAAGCAGCCAUCAUUUAAAGAAAGCGUAAUAGCUCACUGGUCGAGU